CACCAUUGUGCAUGUUUAUACAACCUUGCAAAUUUACUAGCAGGAAUUUCCAUUGUGUUUGCAGCCCUUACACAGUUACACUUUGUGUUUCAUUAUGACAUCUUGACCUUGAAAGAGUCUAUUACUGUGACUCCAACAUUUUCCCGUUCGGCGUUAGAAACACAAUACAUUGAUCAUAAAAUGACUGAAAUAUUACAGAUUUAAAAGCCUGACACCUAGCGGCAAAGUUUAAAUUUCACACAAGUAGCGAUGAAUGGUGAUCACUGUGGUUGUAUUUCGGUCUUGUUAGGCUACACCAUGUUCUUUUGACCACCUAUCCGUAACAGGAUUAUUUGCAUCAACAGCCGUAAAAAAAGCACCCAAAUAAACAGCAGUUUGCGAAUAUUAUUGUUGCGAUUUAAAAAGGUUGCAGCCCGUUCCAACUUUGUAAAAUUGAAAAUUGUGAACUUUUGUCCUCUAUUUCAAGCUUGUAGCCUUCCAAGUUUACUCACAUAAAAUGACUUUCGCUUUAUAAAGUCUGUUUCAUCGGAAAACUUUUAAGGUUCAUCGGAAAAAUAAAAAAAAUAUGUACAAAAUCGAUGAUACCAUUCGCUCGCAGUAAGCGGCCAUCUUGAAUUCAGCGACGAAUAGUAAUGACGUAAUUUUUAUUUUUUAUUAAUGACGUAAUUGUCAUUUUGUGGCUAACGAUCCAAGAUCCGACACAAAUGCGUGCCGAAACCUAG
This 722-nucleotide long non-coding RNA is filed under the name Paramuricea clavata. The record is from RNAcentral. Lineage: Eukaryota; Metazoa; Cnidaria; Anthozoa; Malacalcyonacea; Plexauridae.